This 350-nucleotide ribosomal RNA is filed under the name uncultured bacterium. Its description in RNAcentral is "bacterial SSU rRNA". It matches the Rfam family "Bacterial small subunit ribosomal RNA", at positions 355 to 697 of the family's 1533-position model. The record is from RNAcentral.
UGGGGAAUAUUGCACAAUGGGGGAAACCCUGAUGCAGCCAUGCCGCGUGUGUGAAGAAGGCCUUCGGGUUGUAAAGCACUUUCAGUGGGGAGGAAGGGGCGAUGCCUAAUACGCAUUGUCAUUGACGUUACCCACAGAAGAAGCACCGGCUAACUCCGUGCCAGCAGCCGCGGUAAUACGGAGGGUGCAAGCGUUAAUCGGAAUAACUGGGCGUAAAGCGCACGCAGGCGGUUGGACAAGUCAGAUGUGAAAUCCCCGGGCUCAACCUGGGAACUGCAUUUGAAACUGUCCGACUAGAGUCUUGUAGAGGGGGGUAGAAUUCCAGGUGUAGCGGUGAAAUGCGUAGAGAU